GAGGCUCGCAGCAUAUUGGUUGUAGGCUAGGAUUGUGAUUCCUGUUGUCGUGGGUUCGAGUCCCAUCAGCCACCCCA
This 77-nucleotide transfer RNA is filed under the name Burkholderia ubonensis. RNAcentral's name for it is "tRNA-His". Lineage: Bacteria; Pseudomonadati; Pseudomonadota; Betaproteobacteria; Burkholderiales; Burkholderiaceae. The record is from RNAcentral.